This 411-nucleotide long non-coding RNA is filed under the name Coturnix japonica (Japanese quail). RNAcentral's name for it is "lncRNA (ENSCJPG00005014008.1)". Lineage: Eukaryota; Metazoa; Chordata; Aves; Galliformes; Phasianidae. The record is from RNAcentral.
AUGCAAUCUGAAAAGAGGAGGGCAUAUAGAAAUCCUCACAAGACUAUUACCGAGAGAAAGGAAACGACUUCUUUGAGGUGCUUGCAAGGGGCAGAAGAGGUUUGUCUUGCAUCUGGAAGUAGAUGUCUAAUAAUGAGAAGGAAGCAGCCCUGUGCAGCUGAGGGUGCUGACAAACCUACAUCAGAUCUGCUUCAGGUGUGGCAGCGGAGAGGUCACAGGAGAGGUGAGCAAUGCGUUGAGCACUCUGCUUCCCCCAGGAUGGAGCAACACGUAGCAACCAGGCCAGUGCAUUCUGUACAUCUUGCUGGUUUCAGUAGAGAAGGCUACAGAAGAAACAAAUCAAACUCUUCUUCAGAGAAACAGCCUCAAUAUGGAUUUGCAGGGGAUCCAUUUAAGCAAUCCGUCUGGUAG